This 458-nucleotide ribosomal RNA is filed under the name Treponema sp. oral taxon 234. Its description in RNAcentral is "bacterial SSU rRNA". It matches the Rfam family "Bacterial small subunit ribosomal RNA", at positions 29 to 472 of the family's 1533-position model. The record is from RNAcentral. Lineage: Bacteria; Pseudomonadati; Spirochaetota; Spirochaetia; Treponematales; Treponemataceae.
AACGAACGCUGGCGGCGCGUCUUAAGCAUGCAAGUCGAACGGCAAGAAAGAAGCUUGCUUCUUUCCUAGAGUGGCGGACUGGUGAGUAACGCGUGGGUAAUCUGCCUUUAAGAUGGGGAUAGCCGCUAGAAAUAGCGGAUAAUACCGAAUACACUUCAAGCUUCAAAAGGAGCAUGAAGGAAAGGAAGCUAAGGCUUCGCUUAAAGAUGAGCCUGCGUCCCAUUAGCUAGUUGGUAAGGUAACGGCCUACCAAGGCGACGAUGGGUAUCCGGCCUGAGAGGGUGAUCGGACACAUUGGGACUGAGAUACGGCCCAAACUCCUACGGGAGGCAGCAGCUAAGAAUAUUCCGCAAUGGACGGAAGUCUGACGGAGCGACGCCGCGUGGAUGAAGAAGGCUGAAAAGUUGUAAAAUCCUUUUGUUGAUGAAGAAUAAGGGGAAGAGGGAAUGCUUCUCUGA